RNAcentral lists this ribosomal RNA (253 nucleotides) under uncultured bacterium. RNAcentral describes it as "partial 16S ribosomal RNA". It matches the Rfam family "Bacterial small subunit ribosomal RNA", at positions 524 to 776 of the family's 1533-position model. The record is from RNAcentral.
UACGGGGGGAGCAAACGUUGUUCGGAAUCACUGGGCGUAAAGGGCGCGUAGGCGGCCCUGCAAGUGGCGUGUGAAAUCCCCUGGCUCAACCAGGGAACUGCGCUCCAAACUGCAGGGCUUGAGGACAGUAGAGGAAACUGGAAUUCCAGGUGUAGCGGUGAAAUGCGUAGAUAUCUGGAGGAACACCAUUGGCGAAGGCGAGUUUCUGGGCUGAUCCUGACGCUGAGGCGCGAAAGCUGGGGGAGCAAACAGG